Molecule: long non-coding RNA, 8376 nt
Filed under: Lytechinus variegatus (green sea urchin)
Lineage: Eukaryota; Metazoa; Echinodermata; Echinoidea; Temnopleuroida; Toxopneustidae
Description: uncharacterized LOC121414394
Source: RNAcentral
GGAUCUGGAUCAGUUUUACAAACUCUGAAUAAGUUUUGGAUCUGGUGGAAGAAAAUUUCAACACCGGACUUGAAAUCGCCCAAGGACUCUUACCAUGGAUGUACCUCCAACACAAGCACAAACAAUUACAGAAGGACCAUUCAACAAGAAGCAGCCUUGAAGGCAGAGUUAGCUGUGAUCAAGAGAAUGCCAUCGAGGUAAAAGAGGCCACCGGUCAGAGCUUAAAGAGGCAGUCCAUCAGUUUGCCCUGAAGAAGGACAAACCAAGUUCAAAGAGCCUCAGUAAGAAGGGUUUGUUGAGAUAUAAGCAGCAUAAGAUGUGGAUAAGAAAGAUGCAGAAUCUUGUACAUCACAACUGGACAACAUUCUAACGGCAUCUGAAGGUGAGACGAUGUCAUGAUUAUGUCGCAACCAUGGUAAAAAAAAGUAAUUCCAAGGACAAAAGUAGCUGGGAUAAAGAUAAUAAUUCCAAGAAUGAAAAUUGCAGGGAUAGGGACAGUAAUACCAAGGACAUAAGUAGCUGGGAUAAUGACAGUAAUAAUUCCAAGGACAAAAGUAGCUGGUGGGUGUUUCAUAAAGCUGUUCAUAAGAUACGAAUGACUGUACGCAUGACUGGUGAUCCUUUCUUGUGCUAUGUGAUAUCCCUAAGUAAUUGAGAUAUGACCCGAGAUCAUGUUUCAGUCGUGCGUAAAGUCGUUCGUAACUUUACGAACAGCUUUAUGAAACACCAACCUGGGCUAAAAACAGUCAUUCUAAGGACGAAAGUAGCUGGGAUAAAAAAAAUUCCAAGUACCAAAGUAGCUAUAGGACAAAGACAGUAAUUCCAAGGACAAAAAUAGCUGGGAUAAAGUCACCAACCCAUUGGCACCGAUGGCUCAAUUCUUCAACAGGAAGCACAGUGUGGUAUCAGAGAAACUGGCUGUAACUAGCCAGCUGCCCAGGCUUGAGAGACCAGGCAUUCAAGGUGAUUAACACACUGUGGACAAUGCAUUUGAUGGCAUGAUCGAUGCAAAGCUACACUAUUUUAGUAUCUAUGUUGUGGGCGAACCGAAGGAAGUCAUUGAACACUACCUACUGCUGGUACAAGCAAUGCAUAUCGGAAAGCAUGGGACCUAUUUGCACAGAGGUAUAGGAAUGGAAGCAUUAUGGCAUUCACUUAAUUGACAUAUUCUUGGCAUUUUUUUUUAUCACUUACUGUUAUAUUUUUACAAGGUUAAAACCAGCUUUGCGUCCAUUUUUUCCUACUAUAUUUCCCCCCUUCUGUUGGUCUUUUCAAUUUUUUGCCUUCAUCUGCCCCUCCUUUACCUUUCCUUUCUGUUUCUUUCCACCCACUCUUUUCCCGUCACUCUUUUUUCAUCAUUCGUCCUAUCUCAUCCUCUUUUUUUUCUUUCUCUUCCUUUUCUCAUUUCCCCUUUAUUUUUGUCCCAAUAUUACAUGAUUAUACUUGUAAUAUAUCAUUCAAUGCCCUAGUUGCGUUCUGUUCGAAUUACACUUUCACACUUCUUGACGUUUGUACAUGCUUCGUUGAUCAAUAUGUUACUUUUUAAAGUUUCUUUUUUUUUGGUAUAUCUUUUAUGAUUGUGUAAUAUGAUUAUCGGUUGGUUGUAAUUGUUUGCUGUUAUAUCAUCUUUAUAAUAUUGUACUUUGCCUUUGUUUAUACUGUGCACUGGAUUUUUCAGUCUUUGGACUGUUUUCCCAGUUUCUUAUUGAAUAAAUACCAUACUACUACUACUACUUCUAUGCCCAAGUCAUGGCUACAUAUUCUCAGACUUUCUGAAAUUAAAAAAAAAGAGUUUUAAAGUAGCUGUGACAAACAUGAAACCAGCAUAAUCAGUCAUCAUCAUAUCAGCCAUGUUCAGCCCACUGCAGGGCGAAGGCCUCCUCAAGUUGGUGCCAAAGGUGCUUGUCUUGUGCUGACGCAAUCCAAUUUAUACCAAUGAAUUUUGUGAGCUCGUCACUCCAUCUCAAUUUCUGUCUACCCCGAUUUCGUGAUCCUAGCCAUGGUCUCCAUUCUGUGAUGCGUUUGGUCCACCUAUUAUCAUGUGAUCUUGCAAGGUGGCCAGCCCAUCUCCAUUUCAUUGAUUUAAUUGCUUUGAUUAUGUCUAUUACUUUAGUCUGGUUCCUAAUCCAUUGUAUGGUUUUCCUGUCACGUUUUGAUAUCCCUAGCAUUAUACGUUCCAUACUGUGUUGAGUGGUUUUUAAUUUCUGUUCCAUUUUCUUUGUUACAGACCAGGUUUCGGAACCAUAGGUCAUUGCCGGUAUAACACAUUGAUUAAAGACUUUUCUUUUAAGGCAAAUUGGCAUAUUGCUCUUCAUAAUGUCAUUGAAAUUCCCAAAAGCGAUCCAUCCAGCUCUUGUCCUCCUUUUAACUUCUUCCAGUUGUUCAUGAUCCAUUCUGACAUGUUGCCCAAGGUAGAUAUAAUGAUCUACUCUCUCGAUUUCAGAAUUAUCCAUUAUGAUUCUUUGCUCCGUAACAAGUAUGUUAAACAUUACUUUUGUCUUUUUCAUGUUGAUGUUCAGCCCUACUUUGUUACUUUCAGUGUUGAGAUCGUUAAGCAUAUUUUUUAGCUUGAGGCCAUCAUCAGUGAUUAGAAUGAUAUCAUCGGCAAACCUUAGGUGAUGGAGAUCAUAAUCAGUAAUGCAUGCCAAAGCCCAUCAAUCGAAUGGUUGCGUCAGGUCAUGGUUGUAACAACAGAGAGCUGGAGAAGGUAUGGAACAGUUCUUGUGUGUCUAGGAUUGGGCUCUAUUACAAAGUAAUAUACCGAAUAUAUGUCACAUGUAGCUCAUGAGGACACAUUAACAGAACACAAUCUCUUUAGGGACAAAUCAGAGUGGAGGACCAUGGACAAACAGCUAUGUGCUCGGUACAAAAGGAAUCUGAUGUUUCUAAAAGGACAGUGGAAGGUUCUAGUCAAGUACAGGUCGGUAUCAACGACUUGGAAAAAUACUUCAAGCUACGAUCCUUGGUGACAGAAGGUACCCAUCUCAAGUAGUUUAUCUCCACAUCAAGCAAGGAAACAUGUCUUCUCCUUGAUUCCUCUUCUUUCUUCAGGGAAGCCUCAAGAUAGCGGAGUUUGCUAGAACAAGAGAAUCUGCCGUGUUAGAAGAAUCGCGUGCCUGCGGUUCAAUGCGAGUCUGGAUGAACUCCUAUAAAUGGGAGAAAAGCUGCAAUUUAAAAUGAAAGCCAACCGUCUCUUCUUCAACGAUGAGUAGAGGUAAUUGCUCGUUAAAUUAAGCAAAGAAAGAUGGCCAUUAGCAGACUUCCCGAUAGUUCCAAGCAGAGAACAAAGUAGAAGAAUAUGUAUUAUGCACACUGCAUCAUUGGUGUUUGUUCUUUUAUGUGCACAGGGACCAUGUUCAUUGUUAGCAGCCAUAGCAUCAGAAGCUUCAUAGCCCAGAACAACAAAUAGCAGUCCUGCCAACCUGAAAAAGAACAUUUCAGUAUUUUAAAGCUGAAAAUCAGUAUUUCAGUGAGGAAAUCAAUAUUUAAAAAAAAACAUAGGACAAGACAUAAAGCUGAAACUUUAGAAAUCAGUAUUUUACAUGAAACAAACAGUAUUUCUCUCACUUUUCAGUACUAAAUACUGAAAAUCAGUACUAAUUGGCAGCUUUGAAAUAGACUAGGUUCUUAUUUAUGAACACGGUCAACUCUCCAACAUGCCUACCGUUGACUGCCCAAUACCCGGCUGUGACUACUCCACACCAGACCUUGAUGCUGCCCUCUUAACUACCCACAGUACCAUUUACACCUCUGGACAAGCCGCAAAGGUUGAGAAGGUCAAGAGACCAACGAUUGCUGCUGCUGCUGCUGCUGGCACCAGCGAGGAAUGGGCAUACUUCAAGUCACGGUGGUCCGACUAUGUUGAUGCCACUUAAAGAUCACUGGGAAAGACAAGGUUGUACAGCUUCUUGAGUGUUGUGAUGAGCCCCUACGGAAGGACCACACAUGAGCUGCUGGUGGCAGCCUCACCAACAAAACUGAGGAUGAGGUGCUGUUUACAAAGUUGUGAAGAAAGAAUCAUUCAGAGAAGGAAAGGUUCUAAAAAGUACAGAUGCUAUCAGGGGAGGGGCACAGGCUACUGUGGUAGAUGCUAUAAAAAGGACUAAAUAAGAACCUUGUCUAUUUUUUGCUCUGGGCUAUAAAGCUUAAGGUACUAUGGCAGCUGACAAUGAACAUGGUCCCGGUGCAAAUAAAAGAACGUUUAUACCAAUGAUGCAGUGUGCAUAAUACUCCCCCCAAGUCUUUGGUGUGUAUUGUAGAGAAGACGGCAAUACCGGAACAAAGACUGAAGAAGUAAAUUUAACGAAGAUGGUGCAAUGUCGAAAUGUGUCCAUAAGCAGAUAAGCUCCAUGUAUAAAAUCAAGAACCAUGGGAAUAACAUAACUAAGGAACGUGAAAACAAUGUGCAAAGUCAACACCAGUGAGUAGUAGCCGUACCUCGCAAUACGUGUGAGUACCGUACUACAUGUAUGCAGAUUAUACUAGCAAUCAGCAUGCCAUCAGUUCAGUGACAAGGCCAAACCGAGAGAUUUCAUUUUCAGCGAACUUGCCUGUAAGCACGUUUAGCCGGAAAUCAUAUUAUGCAGCCAAGUGGAGGACCGUUUUUAUAAGUAAGAACCUUGUCUACUUGUUGCUCUGGGCUAUGAAGCUUCAGGUGCUAUGGCAGCUAACAAUGAACACGGUCCCUGUGCAAAUAAAAGAACAAACGUUUACAACACUGAUGCAGUGUGCAAUUUGCAAUUUACUCUGCCAUUGGAUAUGAAGAAAACAAAUAGUUGUCUGCAUUCAAUUACACAAAAAGCAGUCAAUAUGUUUACUGUACAUCUUCAAGUAAAUUACCCCUAGUCUUACGGGUUUGGUAUGUGUGGAAAGAUGUCAUAAGCAAAUAUUGGCUGUGGGCCGAGAAGCAGGCAUGCAAGAAUGAAAAUUUAAAAACUAGUUGUGAUGAACAUGAAACCAGUAUUAUCAGUAAUGCAUGCACUACAAAAAAUAUGUCAUGUGCAGCUCAUGAGAACAAACCAACUGAACACAUUAUUCUUAGGAACAAACCAAAGUUGAAGACCAUGGCCAAACAGCUAUGUGUUCGAUACAAAAGGAAUUCCAUGUUUCUGAAAGGACAGACGAUGUGAGAAGUUGCCGGUAUCAGCCACGGAUGUCAGAAUAAGGAGAUACUAUCUAUUCAGACUUGGAAGGAGGUUAAAGAAACCCUGGAAGGUUCUAGUCAAGUACAGGACGGUAUCAACAACUUGGAAAACUACCUUAAGAUACGAUCCUUUAGAAGAUACCCAAAUUGAGUAGUAUAAUCUCCACAUCAAGCAAGCAAACCUGUCUUCUUGAUUCCUCUUCUUUUUUUAGGGAAGCCUCCAAGAAGGCAGAGUUUGCUAGAACAAGAGAAUCUGACGUCUUAGAAGAAUCCCUGAGCCGGCCUUUUAAUGUGAGUCCGGAUGAACUUCAAAUGGGAGAAAAACUGCAAUUGAAAAUGAAAGCCAACCGCCUCUUCUUCAUCAAUGACUAGAGGUAAUCGCUCUUUAGAUUAAGUAGAGAAACAUGGCCAUUAGCAGACUAGCGGAUAGCUCAAAACAGAGAACAAAGUUGCGAAGAAAGCAUCAUGCAGAGAAGGAAAAGCUUCUAAAAAGUAUGGAUGCUAUGAGACGAGGGGCAGAGGCUACUGUGGUAGAUACAAUUUAACUCUGCCAUGGGAUAUGAAGAAAAAAAAUUGUUGUCUGCAUGCAGUUGCACAAUAAGCAGUCAAUAUGUUUACUGUUAAAAUGUAUGCCUACCCACAAUAUCUUCCAAUAAAUUACCUCUAAUCUUAGGGAUUUGAUAUAUGUGCAAAGAUGCCUCAUGCAAAUAUUGGCUGUGGGCCGAGAAGCAGGCAUGCAAGAAUGAAAGUUUUAAACUAGUUGUGACGAACAUGAAACCACUAUUACCAGUAAUAAAUGCAAUAAAAAUAUAAGUCAUGUGCAGCUCAUGAGGACAAAGCGACUGAACACUCAGGCUUAGGAACAAAUCAAAGUGGAAGACCAUGGCCAAACAGCUAUGUGUUCGAUACAAAAGGAAUUCCAUGUUUCUGAAAGGACAGACGAUGUGAGAAGUUGCUGGUAUCACCCACGGAUAUCAGAAUAUGGAGGUACUAUUCAGAUUUUGAAGGAGGUAAAAGAAACCAUGGAAGUUUCUAGUCCAGUACAGGACGGUAUCAAAAACUUGGAAAAAUACUUUAAGAUACGAUCUUUGGUGAUAGAAGUACAUGGCAUUUUGAGAACCAUAGUACCAACGAUCCGAAUACACACACAGAAUGGUUAUGCACUUGGAAGAUGCCUUCAUGAAAUAAAGCAGGAGGCCUCUGGUUACCCGUCAUGCUAAGACUGACGAAGAGCGACAAGCCUGUAUACAAAAAUUACACGGAGCAUGAAGGCAUUCAACUAGAUCCUUCCAGACAAAUCCUGGUCUUUGAGCCGCUUCUAAAAUUAUUAUCAAUAUACUGUGGGGUAAAUUUGCCGAACGGGAUAACCUAACCCAAAUAAAGUUCUUGACUUCUGCAAACGACUUAUUGGGCUAUCUUAAUGACAAAACCAUAAAUGUCAAGGACAUUUUGAUUCACAACAAAGACAUUCUUGAAAUGUAAUUCUCUAAGAGCAAAGGCUUUGUUGCUCAAAACGUGAAUGCCAAUAUCAUCAUCGCAUUGUUUUCUAACCUUAUUCUGUCCUUCAAUCGUUAGAUAACAGAGUAUUGUAUUGUGAUACCGACUCUGUGGUCUUCAAAACAGAUCAAUCCUAACACAUCAACAGGUAACUUUCUAGGUGACCAGACAGACGCGCUUGAUGAGAAUGGGGAGGAGUACAUUAAUUCAGACUUGAUUUUACUAGCCUCUACCCGUAUAUCAAUAAAUUUUCUAAAUACCCUAUCGGACAUCCGAAAAUCUUACGAUCAGAUUUCCCUCCAAUAGAAGAGAUAUUUGGCCUUGUCAAAUGUCAUAUCAUACCUCCCAGGAGUCUAGUUCACCCCGUCUUGCUAUUCAGAUCCGAAAAAAAUUGACGUUUCUCCUGUUUUGCACAUGCGCGGAGACCCUCAAUCGAGUCCCUUGUCACCAUACAGAUAGUGAAAGGGCUUUAGAAGGGGUCUGGGUGUCAGAGGAGAUAAAGAAGGCGUUAGAAAUGGGGUACACUGGUCUAAAAAUCAUUGAGGCAUGGCAUUUUGAGAAGCAUAGUAUGUACGAUCUGAUUACACGCAAAGGAGGGUUAUUCACAUCGUAUAUAGAUGCCUUCAUGAAAAUAAAACAAGAGGGGUACACUGGUCUAAACAUCAUUGAGGUAUGGCAUUUUGAGAACCAUAGUACAUAUGAUCCAAUUACAUGCACAGGAGGGCUAUUCGCAUCAUAAAUAGAUGCCUUCAUGAAAAUAAAACAAGAGUGGUACACUGGUCUAAACAUCAUUGAGGCAUGGCAUUUUGAGAAACAUAGCACAUACGAUCCGAUUACAUGCACAGGAGGGCUAUUCACAUCGUAUAUAGAUGCCUUCGUGAAAAUCAAACAAGAGGCCUCUGGUUACCCCUGUCAUGCCAAGACAGACAAAGAAUGGCAAUACUAUAUUGAAAACUAAUGGAACAUGAAGGCAUUCAACUUGAUCCUUCCAAAGUUGAAAAAAAUCUCGGACUUUGAGCAAUCGCUAAAUGAUUAUCAAUGUACUGUGGGGAAAAUUUGCCGACCGGGAUAACCUAACCCAAACGAAGUUCUGGACCACCGCAAACGACUUAUUGGUCUAUCUUAAUGAUAAAACCAUUGAUGUCAAGGACAUUCUGAUUCACACCGAGGACAUUCUUGAAAUGUACUUCUCUAAAAGCGAUGGUUUUAUUGAUCAGAACGUAUAAUUGCAUCGUUUACCACUGCCAUGAAACCAGUAUUAUAUGCAUGCACUACAAAAUAUAUGUCAUGUGCAGCUCAUGAAGACAAAGCGACUGAAAACUCAGCCUUAGGAGCAAAUCAAACUGGAAGAACAUAGCCAAAUGUGUGCGAUACAAGAGGAAUUUCAUGUUUCUGAAAAGGCAGAUGAUGUAAGAAGUUGCUGGUAUCAGCCUAAGUUUGUCAGAAAAUGGUGGUGGUACUACUCAGAUUUGGAAGGAGGUAAACAAAACCCUGAAAGUUUCUAGUCAAGUACAGGUCAGUUUCAACAACUUCGUUUUCCACCGCCUCGGCACGUUUGAAGCUGUACUCCGUCCUCCAAUUGUUAGAUGACAGAGUAUUGUACAGUGAUACGGACUCUGUUGUCUUUAAAACAGAUUAAUCUUUCUCGCACAUCAAUCCUCCAACUGGUAAUUAUCUAGGUGAUCUGACAGAUGAGAUCGACGAGACUGGGGAGGAGUACAUUCAGACGUUGGUAU